UUGAAUUCCCCUUCCCUAUUAAUUCUCUCUAAAACUCCCAUGAACCCUAGCCGCCGCUAUCUCACCCCACCUUAAUACCUACUCAAUCUAUGACCUUCCGUGGUCGUCUGAAGCAUGUACCCGUCUUCCAUGGCUCCUAUGUGCUUGGUUCUAUGGUUUCAUGAGCAUACUUCGGAGGAGUCUGGUAUAGUCCUUGCUCGACUACUGUUCAUGGCUUUUUUCUGGUCAUCCUUGACCUUUCCCCUGCCAGUCAUGACCAUUCGAGUCAGAUCCUUGACUCUUCUGGAUAGAUCGGUAACUUUCAAAGUCUUUCUCACCUUUUUUGGGUUCUUCGAAACCCUAACCUUUAAAAUCUUUUGAUUUUC
Molecule: long non-coding RNA, 365 nt
Filed under: Nicotiana benthamiana
Lineage: Eukaryota; Viridiplantae; Streptophyta; Magnoliopsida; Solanales; Solanaceae
Description: long non-coding RNA (NBEN_LNC032187)
Source: RNAcentral